CCCAGCGCUAUGCGCUGGGCUGACAUAUUGCGCUCCUUCAGAGCU
The sequence is a small RNA, 45 nucleotides long. It matches the Rfam family "Acido-Lenti-1 RNA". The record is from Rfam.